GAGACCGGGAGAAGUUAGAGGUACUCCUGGGGCAGAGGUGAAAUUCUGUANUCCUAGGGGGACCACCAGUGGCGAAAGCGUCUAACUAGAACGGGUCUGACGGUGAGGGACGAAGCCCUGGGGCGCGAACCGGAUUAGAUACCCGGGUAGUCCAGGGUGUAAACGCUGCUUGCUUGAUGUUAGUCGGGCUCCGAGCCCGAUUAGUGUCGGAGAGAAGUUGUUAAGCAAGCUGCCUGGGAAGUACGGCCGCAAGGNNGAAACUUAAAGGAAUUGGCGGGGGAGCACAGCAACGGGUGGAGCGUGCGGUUUAAUUGGAUUCAACGCCGGAAAGCUCACCGGAGGCGACGGUUACAUGAAGGCCAGGCUGAUGACCUUGCCUGGUUUUCCGAGAAGUGGUGCAUGGCCGCCGUCAGUUCGUACCGUAAGGCGUUCUGUUAAGUCAGACAACGAACGAGACCCUCAUCUUUAAUUGCUACCUGUAAGUCCGCUUAUAGGGCACAUUAAAGAAACCGCUGGCGAUAAGUCAGAGGAAGGCGAGGGCAACGGUAGGUCAGUAUGCCCUGAAUCCUCCGGGCUACACGCGCGCUACAAAGGAUAGGACAAUGGGCUUCGACACCGAAAGGUGAAGGUAAUCCCGAAACCUAUUCGUAGUUCGAAUCGAGGGUUGAAACUCACCCUCGUGAAGCUGGAAUCCGUAGUAAUCGCGGAUCAACAUCCCGCGGUGAAUAUGCCCCUGCUCCUUGCACACACCGCCCGUCAAACCAUGCGAGUUGGGUUUGAGUGAGGAUGCAGUUUUUGCUGCUUUCAAACUCAGGCUUAGCAAGCGGGGUUAAGU
RNAcentral lists this ribosomal RNA (835 nucleotides) under uncultured archaeon. Its description in RNAcentral is "bacterial SSU rRNA". It matches the Rfam family "Archaeal small subunit ribosomal RNA", at positions 595 to 1433 of the family's 1478-position model. The record is from RNAcentral.